UUGAACGCUGGCGGCAUGCCUUACACAUGCAAGUCGAACGGUAACAGGUCUUCGGAUGCUGACGAGUGGCGAACGGGUGAGUAAUACAUCGGAACGUGCCCGAUCGUGGGGGAUAACGGAGCGAAAGCUUUGCUAAUACCGCAUACGAUCUACGGAUGAAAGCAGGGGACCGCAAGGCCUUGCGCGGACGGAGCGGCCGAUGGCAGAUUAGGUAGGUGGUGGGAUAAAAGCUUACCAAGCCGACGAUCUGUAGCUGGUCUGAGAGGACGACCAGCCACACUGGGACUGAGACACGGCCCAGACUCCUACGGGAGGCAGCAGUGGGGAAUUUUGGACAAUGGGCGAAAGCCUGAUCCAGCCAUGCCGCGUGCAGGAUGAAGGCCUUCGGGUUGUAAACUGCUUUUGUACGGAACGAAAAGACUCUUUCUAAUAAAGAGGGUCCAUGACGGUACCGUAAGAAUAAGCACCGGCUAACUACGUG
This 481-nucleotide ribosomal RNA is filed under the name uncultured bacterium. RNAcentral describes it as "partial 16S ribosomal RNA". It matches the Rfam family "Bacterial small subunit ribosomal RNA", at positions 30 to 507 of the family's 1533-position model. The record is from RNAcentral.